GACGAACGCUGGCGGCGUGCCUAAUACAUGCAAGUCGAGCGAACGGUCGAGAAGCUUGGCUCUCUGUUGAUAGCAGCGGUGGGGGGAGUAACACGGGGAUAAACUAGCUAUAAGACUGCGAUAGCUUGGGGAAACCGGAGCUAAUACCGGAUAAUAUUUCGAACCAAAUGGUUCAAAAGUGAAAGACGGUGUUGCUGUCACUUAUAGAUGUAUCCGCGCUGCAUUAGCUAUUUGGUAAGGUAACGGUUUACCAAGGCUACGAUGCAUAGCAGACAUGAGAGGGUGAUUGGCCACACUGGAACUGAGACACGGCCCAGACUCCUACGGGAGGCAGCAGUAGGGAAUCUUCCGCAAUGGACGAAAGCCUGACAGAGCAACGCCGCGUGAGUGAUGAAGGUGUUCGGAUCGUAAAACUCUGUUGUUAGGGAAGAACAAAUGUGUAAGUAACUGUGCACAUCUUGACGGUACCUAAGCAGAAAGCCACGGCUAACUACGUG
RNAcentral lists this ribosomal RNA (497 nucleotides) under uncultured bacterium. RNAcentral describes it as "partial 16S ribosomal RNA". It matches the Rfam family "Bacterial small subunit ribosomal RNA", at positions 28 to 507 of the family's 1533-position model. The record is from RNAcentral.